RNAcentral lists this long non-coding RNA (7271 nucleotides) under Medicago truncatula (barrel medic). Its description in RNAcentral is "long non-coding RNA (MTRU_LNC004140)". Lineage: Eukaryota; Viridiplantae; Streptophyta; Magnoliopsida; Fabales; Fabaceae. The record is from RNAcentral.
GGUGGACACAUGAGAAGACAUAGGAUUAAUAAUGAAGGGUUUUCAUCUUCUUCAAUAAAUUAUCAAGUGAUAGCAAAAUCUUCUCCUGUUUUGAAAAGAUCGAAUAGCAAGAGAGUUAUGAUCAUGGAAUUGGAUUUGAAUUUGACACCUUUAGAAAAUGACUUGAAGUUGUUGUUUGGAAACAACGCACCUAAAGUUGAUAAUUCUUUGGUCUGAUUUUAGUCUCGCCAAAUUUUUGAACAUAUUAUCAUGAUGUAUUCUUUCGUUUUUUUUUUUUUUUGUAAGUAGUGACAUUUAUGGAUUCAUUUAUCUAGUAAAAUAAUAUUUAUAUAUGAUAUGUUACAUCAUACACUUUAAUUCUUUCAUUAUCAAUAGAGUGGUGAUAGGUGAACCACCCUAGGUGGCAUACCACCAUAUACACCUUCCACAUGUAAAAAAAAUAAUAUAAAGUAAUCAUUUUAAGUGCCUUUAUUUUAUUUUUUAUUUAUUUUAUUAAUCAAUUAAAAACAACACAUCCAACCAUUGACUUUUCCUCUUUCCUUUCUCUGCCUCGCCAGCCACCGGCAACGGCCGCUUUGUUCGUUUCUCAUCUCGACGGUGACGGCGCCGGAAUAAUAAAAACCCAGAUCUAUGCCACAACUGUCCUCCUCUCAUCUCGCCGCCACUAUCAUCACCGCCAUCGUAGCAACCACGCCGUCGUUUUUUGAAACACCGUUAUCUUCCACCUAUCUCUCUCGCCUCCUUCGCCUUCUUUCUUCCUCUCUCAAAUCUGAUCUGGAAACACCGCCGCCCUCUCCCCCAUCAACACCGCCGCCCUCAAGUCAGAUCUGAAAACUCAAAUGAGAAAGAACAAGCAAAGUCAUAAAGAGAAUGCAGAGAUGAGAGAGAGAGAGAGAGAGAGAGAGAGAGAGAGAGAGAAGGGGAACGUUUGAGUGAGGUCAAUGACAACGGAGAUGGUGGUGACGACGGUGGUUCAUAGCCGGUGAGGAGAAGGAAGGAAAAAGGAAGAAAGUGAGAGUGUGUGUUUCACGUUGCAGAGGAGGAAUGGAGAGAGUGACAGGAUUGAAAAAAAGGGUUUGCGAAAUUACCAAAAAUACCCUGCCAUAUAAGGGUGUAUAGAGAAGUGGUAUGGAAAAAGGGUGUUUAUGAAUCAUUUUCCUUCUCAAUAUGAUAUGAUGGAACUACACUUACUCUAUAAUCGGAGACAUAGACAUACUUAAUCAAAUUAUGUAACUAAACAUUAAAACCGUGUUUCUUUAGAUAUUUUUGUUUUACCGUUUCACUUAUCCCUUAUAUCAAGUUGGUGUUCUGACAAUUAUUAACAAGUUGAAAGUCAAACGUGACUAGUUAGUUACACAUCGACUAUUAAUAGAUGAAAGAUUUGAUAAAUAAGAGAGGUAACUGAUAUACUACUUAUAUACUCCCUCCAUUUUUAUUUAUAAACAAAAAUAAGUCAAAGAAAAUCAAUGUAUUUAGUCUUAACUUUGUAUUAAAUAUAUCAAUUUUUAUCAACAUAUUUCUGUUUAUAAAUAAGAACGAAGAGAGUACUUAAUAUAAAAAUGAUGUGUCAAUGUUUUGAUGGGUCGAGACAUAACUAGUUAGUGGUUCCUUCUGCCACUCCCUGGGACCACCCAACAUAAUGAUAAAUGUGGCUGCAUCCUUUUUAUUAUUAGUCAUUUUUAACUUCUGAAAUAAACUACAAUACAACACUUUGAUUUUUGUAUUUUCAAAAUCUGCUGCUAUUUUUUAUUUGACAACUACAAACACAUAUGAAGGAGUGUGUCUUCCUUAGGGAUUAAGAUAAAUUAUACUGCUGUAGCACUAAUGUUUAGAUGUGAAAGUGAAACUGUUAUACCAACCAAUCAGAACACAAAGAAAAACAUGUUUUUGCAACUCAAUUGAUCAAAUUCCCGUUUUUGGACCAAGUUGGUGCAUUUUGAAUGGAGACCGAAAUUCCCUCACAUGUACCCAUACAACAACGCAUUCCACACAAACGAAUCUUCCAACUUUUAGUAUUAAUACUAGAAACUAGAAAAUGUACAAGAAUAUUCUUGCAAAAAAUAAUGUAAGUUUUGAACGUUGUACUUGUAGAACAAGUAGCUUAGUGCUCAAGGUUCAUUCACUCGGUUGCUCAAUAUCCCGAAACUCCUUUUGGAUAUAGUAGUAACUUGUGACGCAUUUAUUGAUAUUCGUGGUCUGGUUUUAAAUUAAUAUUUGUUUUGGGGCAUGAAACUUAAAUUAAGAAAGAGCAGUCCUAUAUAUCAAGAAAGAUUUUAUCACGAAACAGUGUUAAAAUAAAUGUUAACAAAUAAAAUUUAUGUCUGGCCGGAAAUUAUGGGGUGGUGUAUCAUAUGUAUUUUUUUUUUUUUAAUGAAACGGUAAUCAAAUAAGACUGAAAUCUAAGGGAUAGUAUUCUGCCAUGUCAUUUUUGAAGAAAUCGUGAUUUCACAUUUCGUUGUACUUAGCAUUACGUACUAGUUAACUUUUUUUGGAAAAUAAAUUAUGAAUUAUUUUAUAUAAAUCACAUUCAUAAAUAAUAUGAAAAAAAAAAUUAUAAGGGUCGAAAAGAAAAUAGUAAAUACUAAUUAGGAUAUAAUGGUCGAGAUUCAUUCACUGAAGUAUAUAUUUUUCAACUCCAGUAGAUUUUGGAUCGUGCUAAUACUGCAAAAAAACAUUUUAAAAUACGUGAAAUUGGAUUGGAUAUCGAUAACCUGUAGAUAAAAUUAAUAUAAAAAUAUGAUAUAAUAUUAACUGAUUGAAUAAUUAAAACAUACCCAAUAUAAUGAAACUCCUAUUUACCAAGUGUCUAUAUAUAUUAUUUUUAUAGGAAAAAAGAAGAAUUGUUACUUUCUUUUGUAGGCAAGAAGAGUUGUUACUUACCUUUUAGCAAUUACCCAAACAUCUAAGUUAUUCAAAUAAUUUAGAAAUAUUUGAUAUAUAAGAGAGAUUUUUCAAAUUAUAAUUCAAUGUUUUAAAAUUUUAGAUAAAAGUUUUGUGUCAAAGUCUUGGACGAUUGACCCAUUACUACUCUUGCCCGACUCCCCAAAAUAAACCAUAAUAGUACAUUAUUAAUGUAGCUGCAUUCUUUUAAUUCUAGUCAUUUUCAACUUCUUUAACAUCCUUAAAAAAAAAACUUGUUUUAACUACAAUGUCAGCCGAUAGAUUUUUCUAUUUUUCAAGAUUUGCUGCUCUUUUUUAAUUUGACAACUACAACGCACGUGAAGGAGUAUGUAUGAUGGCUUCCAAUCAGGAUUAAGCUAACCAAUUUUCAGAUGUGAAACUACCAAUCAGAACACCAAAGAAAAACAAGUUUUUGCCACUCAUAAUUUGAUAUAUUCCCGAUUUUGGCACACAUUUACUUAUGACGGUGUCCGUGUUGGAAUGGAGACAGAAAAUCCGUUCACCCUUACGACAUGGCACUCCACCCACACAAACGAAUUUUCUAACAUUAAAACUUACUAGAAACUGUACCAAAAUAUUCUUACAAAAAGUCAUAGAAGUUUCAUUGAACUUUUUACUUGUGCAACAAGUAGCUUAGUUCUCAAGCUUCAUUCACUCGGUUGCUCAAUAAUUCAAAACACGUAAGUAUUUGGAUUCUAUAUGAUAUAGACAUAGUAGUAAUGUGUGACACACAUUUAUUCAUACCGGUCAUCUUGUUUUAGAUUAAUGGGAAAGGGAAAGGGAAAUGCUGCAUGUUACGAACUUAUGUUGGGUAGCAAAUGCUUUAAUUUACGUCCAACCACUUUGUGUAUUUCGUGAAAGGAACAUCUAACGGCAGAAAUGAAUUUUUUAUGCUUUCGUUAAAUUGUCGCUCGCGAGAAAUAACAAUGCUUUUAAUUAAAACACGACCUUGUCUUAAAAUAUUCUCCUUUUAUCCUAAAUUCUACGUCACUUCGAUAAUCUCAAAUAAAUUAAAAAUAUAUAAUCUAUGGAAAUGUGUGCAAUCGAUACAUUUUAAAUAAAUACAUUUGAGAAUUUUAUUUUUUCUUAGAAUUCUUAAAGAGUGCCUUAAGGACACUCGUUAACAAGACCCAUUAAAAUUAUAUUAAGAUAAUUGAAAAAAAGAAAGAAUGACAAGUAAAUGGUAUAAUAGAAAAAUAAAUAAUAUUACUCAUUUAUAUUGCAUAACAAUUUAUAAUUUGAGAUGAAAGGAGUAAGUCACUUUGACACAUGACACUCAAUUUAAGAAAACAUAGUUAAUUUAUAUAGGAAAGAUAUAUUAUGAAUUACUUUAUAAAAUUGGCUUUCAGUAAUAGUAUGAGAAAAAUAAAUUACAGCAAUUUAGAAAAGAGAAAAUUAUAAAUUGUUAGAGUAAAAUAGAAAAAACAAAAUUAACAUUUCAUUGUUAAAGUAAAAAAAAGCACGUGAAAUUUUUUUUUUUCACCGAUCUCAUUUAUAAGCGAAUUUGAUGACCACAUAUAUCAUUUAUUCAAUAAAUCUAAAAAUUAAAUUUGCUUAUAAAUAAAACUGGAGAGAGUAUGACAUAUAAAAUGAGACACGUGCGGCUAAAACUUAUAUUGUGAGAUGAAUUAAUAUUAAUGAAACAAUAAAGGUUAUUUAGAGAUGUCCUCGUGAGCUUAGCUCAGUUGGUAGGGACAUUGCAUAAUUUAUGCAAGAGCCGAGGUUCGAAUCCCAGAUACCCCACUUCUCCACAUUUAGUUGUGUGAACUCUAGCCACUAGGCUACUAGACAAAAAAAAAAGGUUAUUUAGAGAUGAAUGAGACAAGACAUGACAACAAAACCCACCCCGCCCCGAAUUUAACGGGGAAAAGCCGAUUUAAUUGGGUGUGGGUGUGGGGGAAAUUUGGAUUUUUAGUAUGGGGGUGGGUCCGGGUCCGGGUCCGGGGAUUCUUACACCCGCCUUUUGAAAUUGAUUUUAUUAAAUUUUAUAAUCUUAUUUCGAUAAGCAUGAACCUAUUUUAAUACAUUAUUACUCUUUAGAAACAUAUUUAUUAUAAUUAUUUUUCUCUUGUUGAAAAAAGUUUAUUAGAUAUUUAAUUAUUAAUAUAAUUUUUUUAAAGAGGAUUAUUAAUAUAAUUAUUGUUUUUUGUUGUUAUGAAAUAAUGAAAAAAUAUUCAUUUUUUUAAAUAUUUUAUAAAAAAUAGAGUUUUUUUUCCCCUUUCUUCCUCUCUCUUCUCUCCUUCUCAAACCCUAGCCGUCGCCCUUUUCUUCGUCUUCUUCUUUUUAGACGGGUGAUUUAGGGUCAAUUUUGACCCAAAAAUCACCCCUUGGAAUUGUUUUUCCUUCUAUCAUAAUUGAAUAAGUGAUUUCAUAUAUUUUCUGUUUUCUUUUGUUUGUUUUUGUGAUUUCGUCGUCUCUGAACGACUCUGUUUGUUUUGAUUUCACGUCUUUGUGCGGUGUGUUUUUGAUUUCCCGUCUUAGUGCGGUGUUUAUUUGAUUCAGGUUGAAUGAUCAGCUUUGAGCAAGUGUAGAUCCGAUCAAUGACAAUGACUUUGGCGUCAUCAACGUUGCAGAUCCGGAGACAUGAUUACAGUCAUAUUAGUCAUAUUUGUAGGCAUGUGUACUUUGCCGUUUUAUGCUAUUAACAUGGAUGUUGUGAGUUUAUUCACAGAUUCAUCCUUUUUGUUUUUAGCGAAUUUGGAUUUUUAUUGUAUCGAUGUACUCUAUCAAUUUGAAUGAAUGAAUAUCGUUUAUUUUUGUCAAAAAAUAAUAAAAAACAGAGUAUUUGCGGGUGGGAGUGGAGGCGGAUCUGGGAGACCCGUCCCCAUUGGAGGCGGGAUUGGGUGUUCAAUUUUUACCCUCGAUAUGGUUUGGGGACGAGGGCGGGGGCGGGUGCAUGGAAGCCGGGGCGGGGACGAGGAUGCUUAAACCCGACCCCGAUCCGCCCCAUUGCCAUGUCUAAAUGAGACACUUUUGUCAGGCUAAAACUUGUAUUGGUAUUGGGCACACAUUAAUGUACUUAAUGUAGAAAUACUCAUGCAACCAACUUAAAAAUAAAAAUAAAAAGUCACGCAACCAACUUUUAAAUAGUCAACAUAUUGAUUUUACACAUGUAAAAUUAUCAAUUUAAAGUUAUUUAAUAUCUACUCUUAAGACACAAGUUAACAAAUGAUCGAAAUUCUGUCUAUUUCUUUUGAGUUGAUUAUUAUAGUUUUGAAGUAAAUUAUAAAUGUAUGAAUUUCAAAAAUUUGUAAUAUCAACUAGACUCUUAUUCAUUCUUUAAUAGAGAGGAUAUCUACUUAUUAGCAAAACCUUUAAAUAUAACUUAAUUAUAGUUUAGUGAUCUUAACUAAUGGUUGAGAUUGAUUAAUGUGUGUAAAUGCGUGUUUAAUGUUUGAUAUUCCAAUUUGCAUUAAAUAAGUUUUUCCUUAAUGUUUUUCACUGCAGCGGAUCUGGGGGCUGCAAAGUGUACAAGCAAAAAUAAAUACUACAACACUAUGUUGACCAAAAAAGGAAAGAAUCGUUGCUUUACGAUAGUAAGCAAUUACGCAAGCAUUGAGGGCAUUCGAAUAUUUUCCUACAAGUCAAAAUGUCCAAACUAUACCAAGUUUCACAUGUUGAACUAAAAAAAUACUUUGCUUGAUUUCCAAGUUGAUCAACAACAAAAUCCGUUGACCACGUUUUCCUUUUUGACUUUCUCCACAGGUCUAUAAAUACGACGUGUUGAGUUUAAGUGUUCCUCACUAACCAACCUAUCUCAUACAUUAAUACCCAUGAUGAAAAGACAAAGAGAAAACGAAGAAAAAGAGAGCAUAGAUUUAGCAACAACUCUAAUGUUACUAUCUUCUCGUAUAACCCAACAAAACAAAACAUAUUCUCCAGUUGAGUUUGAGUGCAAAACUUGCAACCGUAAAUUCUCAUCUUUUCAAGCCCUAGGUGGUCACAGGGCAAGUCACAAGAAGCUGAAACUUCUUGAUUCAGAAGAAGCACACAAAGUGAAUAUUCAUAAUAAUAAGCCCAAAAUGCAUCAAUGUUCAAUUUGUGGACAAGAAUUCAAACUUGGUCAAGCUUUGGGUGGACACAUGAGAAGACAUAGGAUUAAUAAUGAAGGGUUUUCAUCUUCUUCAAUAAAUUAUCAAGUGAUAGCAAAAUCUUCUCCUGUUUUGAAAAGAUCGAAUAGCAAGAGAGUUAUGAUCAUGGAAUUGGAUUUGAAUUUGACACCUUUAGAAAAUGACUUGAAGUUGUUGUUUGGAAACAAGGCACCUAAAGUUGACAAUUCUUUGUUCUGAUUUUAGUCUCACUAACUUUUUGUACAUUAUAAUUCUUUCAAUUAUAUUUGUUUGUAGUAACAUUUAUUGGUUUAUGUAUUU